This 99-nucleotide ribosomal RNA is filed under the name Salmonella enterica subsp. enterica serovar Heidelberg str. SARA36. Its description in RNAcentral is "partial 23S ribosomal RNA". It matches the Rfam family "Bacterial large subunit ribosomal RNA", at positions 588 to 689 of the family's 2925-position model. The record is from RNAcentral. RNAcentral also lists the same sequence under 3 other names. Lineage: Bacteria; Pseudomonadati; Pseudomonadota; Gammaproteobacteria; Enterobacterales; Enterobacteriaceae.
GUGGGGUGACUGCGUACCUUUUGUAUAAUGGGUCAGCGACUUAUAUUCUGUAGCAAGGUUAACCGAAUAGGGGAGCCGGAGGGAAACCGAGUCUUAAUU